Mugil cephalus (flathead mullet) is the source of this 1637-nucleotide RNA transcript. It is a transcript of the gene named galactose mutarotase, with no coding region annotated. The transcript is spliced from 10 exons. NCBI's taxonomy places the organism in Eukaryota, Metazoa, Chordata, Actinopteri, Mugiliformes, Mugilidae. The record is from RefSeq and is a predicted model, not a curated record.
GUUAGGCUUCACUGAGGGAAUUAAGUGCGCCCAACCCGACCACGUGAUCAUUGUAGGAAGCAGGAUGUGAACACUUCCAGGAUCACACGUCUUCUCAUUUGAAGUGUGCUUAAGGUUCAAGAUGACCCAUGUAAGCUGUCAGCACUGGGGAGAGAUGCCUGGCCUGGGCAGUGUGGACCUCUGGGUCCUCCAGACUUUCCAGGUGCAGGUGGAGAUCCUCACCCUUGGUGCUACAAUCAGAUCAUUGAGCAGCAGAGGGAAGAAUGGACAGAUGGAGGAUUUAGUCCUGGGCUAUGAUGACUUGGAAGGAUAUGUGGCUGAUAAACGGUAUCUGGGUGCUGUGGUGGGCCGUGUGGCCAACAGGAUUGCACAGGGACGCUUUACAGUAGAGGGACAAGAAUACCAACUAGAUAUCAACAAUGGACCAAAUUCACUGCAUGGAGGCCUGAAGGCCUUUAAUAAGGCUAUCUGGUGUGCUACAGCAAUGAAAAGUGGAGUGCAGCUGAGUCUUACCAGCCCAGAUGGAGACCAAGGUUAUCCUGGAGAGGUUCAGGCAUCUGUUGCCUACACCCUACAGGGGGAAACCCUAACUGCUGAAUACCGAGCCAGGUCUACCAAAACAACCCCCAUUAACCUCACCAACCACUCCUACUUCAACCUGGCUGGACAGGGGGAAGAAAACGCAAGUUUGUUUUGUGAAGAUCCCUCCCACUCUGCCUACCUGUUUACUUCUGCUGUCUGUGGCAGGGUGCAGCAGAUAUCUACGACCACCAAGUGUUCAUUAAUGCACCGUCCUACCUUCCUGUGGAUGAUACAUCAGUUCCUACAGGAGAAAUCAGAUCAGUGGAAGGUACACCCUUUGACCUCAGAAAGCUGGUUCUCAUUGGCCCUCGACUCAAAGAAGUUCCAGGUCUGGGAUUUGACCACAAUUUCUGUCUGUCAUCACCCAGAGAUACCUGGGAAGAGAGACAUGUCGCCAGAGUCUGUCAUCCAGCCAGUGGCCGUGUCUUGGAUGUUUGGACCAACCAACCAGGAGUGCAGUUCUAUACUGCCAACUUCCUGGAUGGCUCUAUAAUGGGAAAGGGUGGGUGUAAAUAUGGAAAGCACAGCUCCUUCUGUCUAGAGACACAGAACUGGCCUGAUGCUGUCAACCAGCCUUCAUUUCCUGACUGUCUUCUGCAUCCUGGGGAGGAGUACCAUCAUGUCACUCGCUUCACUCUCACCACUGUCUGAUUUGCUUAAUGAGACAGCACAAUGUAUGUCACAUCAUGAGAACUUUCUUUUACAGAAGAUAAUACUGAAUUAUAUCCUAAGUAAUUCAUAUUUUACUGUAUGUGUGUAAUUUUGAAAUGUGUCAUUGUGUACAGUUGUAUUUUGGGGGCUGUCUGCCUUUAUAGUUUGUUGUUUCACCAAGUAAAGUACAUUUUUGGAUUUGACUAAUUUGGCAGAGCCAGUCAUUGCAGUCAACUUUGCUGAACUCGACUGAGCAGACAAUAUACUUUUACAUGAAUCUAUCUUUGUAAUGAAUCUGUGAUACAGUGCCACUGGAAACCAUUCAUGCCUAAGCCCCCACAAUGUCUCCUCCAUGUUAUUACUUGAUUAUACCUUGAAAUUAAAGCAGUCUACAUUCUUCAAUA